UGGAAAUGGACCAAAGAAACUGCCAACAGCUCUUUCUGUGUCUAAUACCCAUCACACAAUGCAACAUUGUUUGUCAAGCUGUUGGGUUCUUUAUCUGGGUGGGCCUUGGAAGUUAAAUAUAUCAUAUAUUUCAGGGACACAUGUUGAUGGUGGAGGUAACUGAUCUACCUGAGUAUUCAGAUCUAUCUGCCAACACUGAGAAGAAAACCGAGGAGGGCUGCAACGUGGCUGUCAUGUGUUCCAGGUUCUGGGAUGUGCUCCAUGUGUCUUCUCCUUCUGGAUCUCAGGCUAAAGAAGCAGCCCCACUCUGGGCCAUCCCUGUCCUCACAGCAGAGGGGAAGAGUGAGCAGCUGAACCAAAACCACACCGUCACAUUUAAAGCAUUAGCUUGGACAGAUGGAACAUCUGCUCAUAUUCCAUUGCUCAGCACAAGUCACUCGGCCAAGCCCAACAUUGCUAUGGCAGGGAUGUGUACCCCACCCAGGGCAGAAGGGGAGAGUUAUCUACCAUAAUCUCCAGCAACAUUUGGUGUAUCCAUCCUUUCUAACUUUUCAAGAGGCAAGGACAUGUGCAUAUACACACAAAAUAUACUUUCUAAAAAUGGGAUGAUUCGUGCUAUAAAAUUACUUGCCUAAAUGCUUUUUUUUGAUGGACAGUUUUAUAAGUCAAUAUGUAUUCUUACAUCUGCAUUUUGAUUGGAUACAUAAUAUUCCACUUUAUAGAUAUGCAUGGACAUCCUUGUGCAUAUAUCUUUGAACACAUAAUUAAGAUCCAUUACUACAAGUAGAAUUACUGGGGCAUUCAGAUCUCACAUUUUCAAGGCUUCUGGUGAAUAUUACAAUUUACACUCCUAAAAAUGACAAUCCUCACUUAAAAUAAAAAUGUAUUGACUUUUCA
Molecule: long non-coding RNA, 897 nt
Filed under: Vulpes vulpes (red fox)
Lineage: Eukaryota; Metazoa; Chordata; Mammalia; Carnivora; Canidae
Description: lncRNA (ENSVVUG00000018872.1)
Source: RNAcentral